UGCUUGUCUCAAAGAUUAAGCCAUGCAUGUCUAAGCACAAGCCCUUGAAUGGUAAAGCCGCAAAUGGCUCAUUACAACAGCCAUAGUUUAUUAGAUCUUACUUUCCUACUUGGAUAACUGUGGUAAUUCUAGAGCUAAUACACGCAGCAAAGCUCGAACUCACGAACGAGCGCAUUUAUUAGAGCAAAACCAAUCAGGUUUCGGCCUGUCUUUUGGUGAAUCUGAAUAACUCUGCAGAUCGCACGGUCUCGAACCGGCGACGCAUCUUUCAAAUGUCUGCCUUAUCAACUUUCGAUGGUAGUUUAUACGCCUACCAUGGUUGUAACGGGUAACGGAGAAUAAGGGUUCGACUCCGGAGAGGGAGCCUGAGAAACGGCUACCACAUCCRAGGAAGGCAGCAGGCA
RNAcentral lists this ribosomal RNA (404 nucleotides) under Nematoda environmental sample. RNAcentral's name for it is "SSU rRNA". It matches the Rfam family "Eukaryotic small subunit ribosomal RNA", at positions 29 to 436 of the family's 1831-position model. The record is from RNAcentral. Lineage: Eukaryota; Metazoa; Nematoda.